CGGCAGGCCUAACACAUGCAAGCCGAGGGGUAGUCUCUUUCGGGAGAACACGACCGGCGCACGGGUGAGUAACGCGUAUGCAACCUACCUUUGGCACGGGGACAGCCCGGGGAAACCCGGAUUAAUACCCGGUAUAGUCUGUUAUACACCUGUAUAAAAGACGAGAGCUACGGCGGCCAAAGAUGGGCAUGCGUGCCAUUAGUUAGUUGGUAGGGUAACGGCCUACCAAGGCAUCGAUGGCUACGGGGUCUAAAAGGAUGAGCCCGCACACUGGUACUGAGACACGGACCAGACUCCUACGGGAGGCAGCAGUGAGGAAUAUUGGUCAAUGGGUGGAAGCCUGAACCAGCCAUGCCGCGUGCAGGAAGACGGCCUUAUGGGUUGUAAACUGCUUUUCUACGGGACGAACGGCUCUGACGCGUCAGGGAUUGACGGUACCGUAGGAAUAAGCAUCGGCUACCUCCGUGCCAGCAGCCGCGGUAAUACGGAGGAUGCGAGCGUUAUCCGGAUUCAUUAGGUUUAAAGGGUGCGUAGGCUGGGCAAUACGUCAGUGGUGAAAGUCCGCGGCUCAACCGUGGGAUUGCCAUUGAAACUGUCGUCCUUGAGUACAGUCGACGUAGGCGGCAUGUGUACUGUAGCGGUGAAAUGCAUAGAUAUUACCCAGAACACCGAUUGCGUAGGCAGCUUACCAGCCUGGAACUGACGCUGAUGCCCGA
Molecule: ribosomal RNA, 716 nt
Filed under: uncultured organism
Description: bacterial SSU rRNA
Rfam family: Bacterial small subunit ribosomal RNA
Source: RNAcentral